AGUGAACGCUGGCGGUAGGCCUAACACAUGCAAGUCGAACGGCAGCACAGUAAGAUCUUGCUCUUACGGGUGGCGAGUGGCGGACGGGUGAGGAAUACAUCGGAAUCUACUUUUUCGUGGGGGAUAACGUAGGGAAACUUACGCUAAUACCGCAUACGACCUACGGGUGAAAGCAGGGGAUCUUCGGACCUUGCGCGAUUGAAUGAGCCGAUGUCGGAUUAGCUAGUUGGCGGGGUAAAGGCCCACCAAGGCGACGAUCCGUAGCUGGUCUGAGAGGAUGAUCAGCCACCCUGGAACAGAGACACGGUCCAGACUCCUACGGGAGGCAGCAGUGGGGAAUAUUGGACAAUGGGCGAAAGCCUGAUCCAGCCAUACCGCGUGGGUGAAGAAGGCCUUCGGGUUGUAAAGCCCUUUUGUUGGGAAAGAAAAGAAGCAGGUUAAUACCCCGCUGUUCUGACGGUACCCAAAGAAUAAGCACCGGCUAACUUCGUG
This 492-nucleotide ribosomal RNA is filed under the name uncultured bacterium. RNAcentral's name for it is "partial 16S ribosomal RNA". It matches the Rfam family "Bacterial small subunit ribosomal RNA", at positions 29 to 507 of the family's 1533-position model. The record is from RNAcentral.